This 427-nucleotide ribosomal RNA is filed under the name uncultured bacterium. RNAcentral's name for it is "bacterial SSU rRNA". It matches the Rfam family "Bacterial small subunit ribosomal RNA", at positions 355 to 774 of the family's 1533-position model. The record is from RNAcentral.
UAGGGAAUAUUGGACAAUGGGGGCAACCCUGAUCCAGCCAUGCCGCGUGAGUGAAGAAGGCCCUCGGGUUGUAAAGCUCUUUUGUCCGGAAAGAAAAGCAUUCGGUGAAUACCCGGAUGUUCUGACGGUACCGGAAGAAUAAGCGCCGGCUAACUUCGUGCCAGCAGCCGCGGUAAUACGACGGGUGCAAGCGUUACUCGGAAUUACUGGGCGUAAAGCGUGCGUAGGUGGUUGUUUAAGUCUGAUGUGAAAGCCCUGGGCUCAACCUGGGAAUGGCAGUGGAAACUGGGCAGCUAGAGUGCGGUAGAGGGUAGUGGAAUUCCCGGUGUAGCAGUGAAAUGCGUAGAGAUCGGGAGGAACAUCUGUGGCGAAGGCGACUGCCUGGACCAGCACUGACACUGAGGCACGAAAGCGUGGGGAGCAAACA